This is a long non-coding RNA of Passer domesticus (house sparrow), 1790 nucleotides long. RefSeq lists it as uncharacterized. Lineage: Eukaryota; Metazoa; Chordata; Aves; Passeriformes; Passeridae. The transcript has 7 exons. The record is from RefSeq and is a predicted model, not a curated record.
AAGGGGGCUUUGGUUAGAAUGUGGGAGUCAGGGAGUUAAUGAGCUGCUAACAAGGCUGAUAAAGAAACUGUGGAGAUAAAUACAAAGAGAAUUAAGCGGGAGAGAUGGUUGGAGACUGGGUGUGGGCAUAAACAGUGAAUGUAAAACAGGAAUGGAAUUAAGGUGAAGAGGACAAACUUAGCUAAGAGGUGAGGCUGCAGUGAGAGCAGGACAUCUGGAGCUGAAGCAACAGGCAGCAAGGCUUGGUGCAGUAUACAGCAAAUAGAAAACCAAAAGUAAAAUCAUAAAAUGUAUCCUCCAUGCUGUACAAAUGAAGGACAGAAAACUCCUAGGAAAAUCUCUGGGAAUUCAGCUGCACUUGCAUAACUCCAGUUAGUGUGAAGAGACUGUUCAUGGAAGUCCUUGUACUUCUGUGAGCACAACUACAGCCAACAAACCUGUCUGCUGAUUCUGGACUGAGCUCGGGCAGACAGAUGUGCAUCCACAGAGUGAGAAAGAAACAGUUUUGAAGUGGAAUCUGACAGCAAGAAGUCUAAGAGCAGGCUUCAGACAAUCCCAGCAAUGGAGAUCCUCAAGUUAACAUCUUAUUUCAAACAGGUUGUCUUGCACUUCUGCCUCCUUGUACUGGAAUGUUGGUGGAGAGGUCCUGACCUCCCUUCUCUCCUUUGGGCCCUCUCUGAAUCCCAGUCUGAAAGCUUCAUUAUGUGAAGAUGAAAAGAGGGGUGUUUUCAUCCCAAAUCCUGUUCCACUAGGAGGCAAUAGCUCAGGUUUCCUUCUGUUCUGGAAAAAAAUACCAUGAAGAUGAUCUCAUGGAUAUCACAGAUUUUCAGCUUCCUCCAGAAAAUGGUAAACUGGACAGAUGAGGAAGGAUGGAGAGCAGCUGGCCCCUGCCUGGAUGCUCUAAGUGAACAACAAAAUGAGUUAGGUCAGGGUUUUCCUCACUCACACUCUUGUUGGGUCACUCAGAGCUGGCCUGCUGCCCUGCUCUCUCCACUGCAGCAUCAAGGAUGGAAGUGGAGGUUUUGCUGCUCUGUGAGGCUCAGCAAGCUGGGGAUGUUCUGCCUGGUCAGCAGGACAGGAACCCUUCAGUGGCAUAGCACUGCCUGCUGAAAACCUCACCAUUAAGCAAAAAGCUUAAAAGCUAUUCUAUAUUUGCUUGCUUAAUUUGCUCUCUCUGUUGUGUCAGACAGACAGACUGUGCCUGCAGGGCAUGAGGAGAUGCCUGGAAGGAGGGAUGUGCCUCUGGCUGCCCAAAGCCCAGGUUUUCUCAGUGUGCAGCACCUUCAGUUCAGUGUGGCACUGAAUGGAUGCUGCACUUCCAAUGCUGCUCCAGGCUGCAGGGCAGGGGCAGAAAAGGCACUGUGCUCUGCCAGCCCCAACAUCAGCCCCACCGAGCCAGCAGAACCUGGCCUGGCCAAAAACCCACCUGCCUUUGAGCCUCUCCAGGAUUCUGUGCACACACCGAGUUCCUGCCUGCCUGCUGGCCAGUGUAACCUGCAGGUUGAUGAAUCCAGCCUACAUUGACUUGAAUGGCUUUUUGUUCAAAGUUUGUCAAUGUUUUGAGAAUACCUGGGUGAAAUUUCCUUUUUCCAUUUGAAAUAAAAGAGAAAUGUGCACAUUGAAAGAUGCAAAAGGCAUUCAAGAAGUGCACAGAUCAUCAUUUCAGGCAUUCUGAGCACUGGGAUUGAGUGAAAUCAUUUAUAGCAUCUGUUUUGAUAUUAGAGUGGUUUUAAGCUGUAGAGUCCCACUAAACAAUUUUGAGAAAUAAAUCUUUCCUAGGUAACUCUUAA